This 1801-nucleotide long non-coding RNA is filed under the name Sinocyclocheilus grahami. RNAcentral's name for it is "lncRNA (ENSSGRG00000040016.1)". The record is from RNAcentral. Lineage: Eukaryota; Metazoa; Chordata; Actinopteri; Cypriniformes; Cyprinidae.
UACAUGUGUACAUUUUGUAUAUCCUCUCUCUCAGUGUCAAUGGACAGUGGCUCUCUGUUGAUGUCUGAGAUUGUGGAUAUUCCAGAUGACAGCUCCCCAUCUGAGGACUCCUGCCUCAUGGAAGUGGGUGUUGGUGUGCGUGCACGGCCACGGGGGGGCAGCGAGGGAGGGGAGGGGGGAGAGUACGCCAGCCUCCGUUCUUUCACACAACAUCCUGAGGGAAUGGUAGCUCCUUCCGGAAGACGUUGUUUCAGAGGCGAGAGAUCGAACUCCUGCUCCUCUCCGAGCACGUACCACACCUCUACCUACAGGUCUCCAGUGUUGAGGCGUCAAGCUCUGUUGGCAAGUAGCUGCUCUCAGUUGGAGUUCCUAGCAGGAUCUCAGCAUUCCUCCAUCCCAGAAAUCCGAGUUCGGCCCUGCACACCUUCCCGACGGGACUCCUCAUCUGAAUUUAGUAACCCACCUACCACAGCCCCAACAGGUCCUGCUCAAGACCGGCCGGACCAUACAGUACUUCCGCGGCCAGGUUUACAUGAGCAAAUUGGACGUGAUAGAAAAGACAGCAACAGCUUCUUACCUCUCAUGAGGUCACACAGUGAACCAGGACUCAGCUCUUCAACUGACACAGGUGAUUUCAGUCUCUCAGGAGGCAAUAAAGGAGUCCGUGAGGGGGGAUCGCAGACCUCAUCAGAAACAGGGGUAUUGUCUGGAGCUGGUUUGCUGCCUCGCUCCUCUCUGGCACUUCCUGCUUCCCUGCCCAGAAAAGACAGCAUUAAGGCUAUAAGUAGCCGGUUGCCCUCAAAACAAGUCCCAGCCACCUCGAUGCGUUUACCCAAAGACUGUGCACGCUCACUUGGAGACCUCAAGGUCACCAAAGUUUUAGUGCAACGUUUCCUGCAGAGAUCCAAACGUAACUUAGCCCCUGCAACUGAGCAUACCGGAAACUGUACUCAGGGGCCUAAAAGGAGGACAGCAGGUGAUGGAAGUCUGCCAUUAGAACAGGUACUUCGUAACUCUCUGGGGGCCAACAGGGGGCAGCAGCAGCAGCACGUCCACCACUACUGCCGUGGACACCAUCACUCCUAUAGUGACAGUCGCCAUAAUGCCCGCCGCCAUGAUGACGACCCUGUAAGGGCCGGGGGAAUCCACUUGCGUAGCUGCGGAGAUCUCAGCUCAACAUCCGUCGCAUCACUGCGCAGAAUCCACCCACCGUCACAAGAAUCAUCAGGAGCUCUUUACUCAGAAUCUGCCCUCUGAAAUGGGGCGAGGGACUCUGGAAUAAAUCACAGCUGGAUUCAGGAGAGGGGGCAGAGAAAAUCUGAGAAAAGAAUAACAGGUUUGAGAUGAGGAAUUUAUCCUGCUGAAGGGAUGAUGUGAAGCAUGCUGUUUGAAAAACAGUAUAUGUACCUUCGGUGAAGAUUUUAGCUGUUCUUACCAUAAUAAGACCGAACACUACACCCGAUAUAACAGAGCUUAACCCAUCAGACCCUCUGCUUUCUGUGCCUGACAAACUCCGGUCUUUCUGUUUUGUAUUUCCAUGUAUUUUUUGCUCCAUCUAGUGCUUUUUUCUCGCUCACUGUUUACAUGGAUGUGGAAAGAAUGCAGCACCUCUGACACUGUUCCUGGUCUUCACAGCUCAUUACAAUGCACUCAUGCAACUACAAACAUACAACCCUAUGUUUGGCUGUAACUAUGUUGUGAACUUGGGGGAAUUGAAAGGAAUAAUUAAAGGAAUAAAUUAAAGGAUUUAAAUGGAUUUAAGGGAAUACGCAAAAAAAAAAGAACAGUAAAAGAAGCAGGA